ACAUACGACCAUACCUACCAGAGAAUUCGGGAUCCCGUCCGCUCUCCCAUAGACAAGCUGGUAAGGGGCAGAUUAGUAGUUGGGUCGGUGACGACCAGCGAACACCGGCUGUUGUAUGUA
Ribosomal RNA from Claviceps purpurea 20.1, 120 nucleotides. NCBI's taxonomy places the organism in Eukaryota, Fungi, Ascomycota, Sordariomycetes, Hypocreales, Clavicipitaceae. The record is from Rfam.